Molecule: ribosomal RNA, 1372 nt
Filed under: uncultured bacterium
Lineage: Bacteria
Description: bacterial SSU rRNA
Rfam family: Bacterial small subunit ribosomal RNA
Source: RNAcentral
GAUGAACGCUGGCGGCGUGCCUAAUACAUGCAAGUCGAGCGAACGGACGAGAAGCUUGCUUCUCUGAUGUUAGCGGCGGACGGGUGAGUAACACGUGGAUAACCUACCCAUAAGACUGGGAUAACUUCGGGAAACCGGGGCUAAUACCGGAUAAUAUUUUGAACCGCAUGGUUCAAAAGUGAAAGACGGUCUUGCUGUCACUUAUGGAUGGAUCCGCGCUGCAUUAGCUAGUUGGUAAGGUAACGGCUUACCAAGGCAACGAUGCAUAGCCGACCUGAGAGGGUGAUCGGCCACACUGGAACUGAGACACGGUCCAGACUCCUACGGGAGGCAGCAGUAGGGAAUCUUCCGCAAUGGGCGAAAGCCUGACGGAGCAACGCCGCGUGAGUGAUGAAGGUCUUCGGAUCGUAAAACUCUGUUAUUAGGGAAGAACAUAUGUGUAAGUAACUGUGCACAUCUUGACGGUACCUAAUCAGAAAGCCACGGCUAACUACGUGCCAGCAGCCGCGGUAAUACGUAGGUGGCAAGCGUUAUCCGGAAUUAUUGGGCGUAAAGCGCGCGUAGGCGGUUUUUUAAGUCUGAUGUGAAAGCCCACGGCUCAACCGUGGAGGGUCAUUGGAAACUGGAAAGCUUGAGUGCAGAAGAGGAAAGUGGAAUUCCAUGUGUAGCGGUGAAAUGCGCAGAGAUAUGGAGGAACACCAGUGGCGAAGGCGACUUUCUGGUCUGUAACUGACGCUGAUGUGCGAAAGCGUGGGGAUCAAACAGGAUUAGAUACCCUGGUAGUCCACGCCGUAAACGAUGAGUGCUAAGUGUUAGGGGGUUUCCGCCCCUUAGUGCUGCAGCUAACGCAUUAAGCACUCCGCCUGGGGAGUACGACCGCAAGGUUGAAACUCAAAGGAAUUGACGGGGACCCGCACAAGCGGUGGAGCAUGUGGUUUAAUUCGAAGCAACGCGAAGAACCUUACCAAAUCUUGACAUCCUUUGACAACUCUAGAGAUAGAGCCUUCCCCUUCGGGGGACAAAGUGACAGGUGGUGCAUGGUUGUCGUCAGCUCGUGUCGUGAGAUGUUGGGUUAAGUCCCGCAACGAGCGCAACCCUUAAGCUUAGUUGCCAUCAUUAAGUUGGGCACUCUAAGUUGACUGCCGGUGACAAACCGGAGGAAGGUGGGGAUGACGUCAAAUCAUCAUGCCCCUUAUGAUUUGGGCUACACACGUGCUACAAUGGACAAUACAAAGGGCAGCGAAACCGCGAGGUCAAGCAAAUCCCAUAAAGUUGUUCUCAGUUCGGAUUGUAGUCUGCAACUCGACUACAUGAAGCUGGAAUCGCUAGUAAUCGUAGAUCAGCAUGCUACGGUGAAUACGUUCCCGGGUCU